GCCGAAGUGGUGAAAUUGGUAGACACACCGUCUUGAGGGGGCGGCGGCGCAAGCUAUACCGGUUCGAGUCCGGUCUUCGGCA
Molecule: non-coding RNA, 82 nt
Organism: Acidithiobacillus sp. GGI-221
Lineage: Bacteria; Pseudomonadati; Pseudomonadota; Acidithiobacillia; Acidithiobacillales; Acidithiobacillaceae
Source: Rfam